Molecule: transfer RNA, 68 nt
Filed under: Marmota monax (woodchuck)
Lineage: Eukaryota; Metazoa; Chordata; Mammalia; Rodentia; Sciuridae
Description: tRNA.Ala
Source: RNAcentral
GGGCUGUAACUCAGUGGCAGAAUGCUUGCCUAGCAUGCAUGAGGCACUGGGUUCAAUCCUCAGCUCCA